This 467-nucleotide ribosomal RNA is filed under the name uncultured bacterium. RNAcentral's name for it is "partial 16S ribosomal RNA". It matches the Rfam family "Bacterial small subunit ribosomal RNA", at positions 28 to 507 of the family's 1533-position model. The record is from RNAcentral.
GAUGAACGCUGACAGAAUGCUUAACACAUGCAAGUCAACUUGAAUUUGGGUUUUUAACUUAGGUUUGGGUGGCGGACGGGUGAGUAACGCGUAAAGAACUUGCCUCACAGCUAGGGACAACAUUUGGAAACGAAUGCUAAUACCUAAUAUUAUGAUAAUAGGGCAUCCUAUAAUUAUGAAAGCUAUAAGCGCUGUGAGAGAGCUUUGCGUCCCAUUAGCUAGUUGGAGAGGUAACGGCUCACCAAGGCGAUGAUGGGUAGCCGGCCUGAGAGGGUGAUCGGCCACAAGGGGACUGAGACACGGCCCUUACUCAUACGGGAGGCAGCAGUGGGGAAUAUUGGACAAUGGACCAAGAGUAUGAUCCAGCAAUUCUGUGUGCACGAUGAAGUUUUUCGGAAUGUAAAGUGCUUUCAGUUGGGAAGAAAGAAAUGACGGUACCAACAGAAGAAGUGACGGCUAAAUACGUG